GAUGAACGCUAGCGGCAGGCUUAACACAUGCAAGUCGAGGGGUAGAAGGAGCUUGCUCCUUUGAGACCGGCGCACGGGUGCGUAACGCGUAUGCAAUCUACCUUUUGCAGAGGGAUAGCCCAGAGAAAUUUGGAUUAAUACCUCAUAGUAUGUGAGGAUGGCAUCAUUUUCACAUUAAAGUCACAACGGCAAAAGAUGAGCAUGCGUCCCAUUAGCUAGUUGGUAAGGUAACGGCUUACCAAGGCUACGAUGGGUAGGGGUCCUGAGAGGGAGAUCCCCCACACUGGUACUGAGACACGGACCAGACUCUACGGGAGGCAGCAGUGAGGAAUAUUGGACAAUGGGCGCAAGCCUGAUCCAGCCAUGCCGCUGCAGGAUGAC
This 381-nucleotide ribosomal RNA is filed under the name uncultured bacterium. RNAcentral's name for it is "bacterial SSU rRNA". It matches the Rfam family "Bacterial small subunit ribosomal RNA", at positions 28 to 412 of the family's 1533-position model. The record is from RNAcentral.